UUUGAUUCGUAAAAUUAGUAUUUUCUGAUUUUCACAAAUCCCACAUUCAAUUUUGACUCUUAACCUUAAGUAUUUUAUUAAGCAAAAAAAACACAGUAUCGACUUAACCUGGUGCAUCAGCUAGCUUUAAAUUUUCAAAUUACCUUCUUCUCCCGAAAAUCCUAAAUAUUGUUUCUCUAUAGUAUAGUGGAAUCUUGCAUAAAGAAAAACAAGUUGCGAUACGCCUACACGAGGAUUAAUCUGGUUCAAACAUAAAUUUUCAAUUCUUUCACUUGCUCAAGAAAAAUAGCUUAAGGGAAAGCUUUAAGUUUAAACUUUCAUUGUUUUUAAAAAAUUAAAUUCCUCUAACCUUCAAAAUCCAAAAAUAAGAAUUUUUAUAUCGAAAAAAAAACCAACCGCACAAAAAACAUUAAACUAUUAGUAUGCCUUAUUUACNAAAAAAAAACUUCUCAUUUUUCCUUAAUCCCCAAGCAUGCCAAGACAACUAAGGUCCCUUUGCCUGUUUCUCAAAGACUCCUCUUUUAAAAAGUAACGUCCGCCCAGUGAUUUAAACGGCCGCUUUGGUGCUAAGGUAGCAUAAUAAUUUGAAACUUAAUUGGUUUCUGGCAUGAGAGACGUUUCAAAGAAAACUUGUUCUUGUUCUACGCAAACCUUUAUUCAUGAGAGAAAUCUCUCAAAUGAUUUUAUAGACGAGAAGACCUUAAAAUCUUUCUUUACAUUUAAUUUCAUCAACACAAACUUAGUUGGGGUGACUCUUGACUUUAACGCCAAUAAAGAAAAAAUCAAAGAACCUUAGAGACCGCAUGAAAAAGAUACUUUAGGGAUAACAGCACAAUGUUUCUUAAAGCCCUUAUUUAAAGAAACGCUUGUGACCUCGAUGUUGAAUUAAGAAAUAUUAGGCGCAAAAGCUUUAACCUUCAGGUCUGUUCGACCUUAUGGCUCUUACAUGAUUUGAGUUAAGGUCGACG
RNAcentral lists this ribosomal RNA (968 nucleotides) under Schizopera knabeni. Its description in RNAcentral is "partial 16S ribosomal RNA". The record is from RNAcentral. Lineage: Eukaryota; Metazoa; Arthropoda; Copepoda; Harpacticoida; Miraciidae.